RNAcentral lists this ribosomal RNA (253 nucleotides) under uncultured bacterium. Its description in RNAcentral is "partial 16S ribosomal RNA". It matches the Rfam family "Bacterial small subunit ribosomal RNA", at positions 524 to 776 of the family's 1533-position model. The record is from RNAcentral.
UACAGAGGUCUCAAGCGUUGUUCGGAUUCAUUGGGCGUAAAGGGUGCGUAGGCGGCGCGGUAAGUCGGGUGUGAAAUCUCGGAGCUUAACUCCGAAACUGCAUUCGAUACUGCCGUGCUUGAGGACUGGAGAGGAGACUGGAAUUUACGGUGUAGCGGUGAAAUGCGUAGAUAUCGGGAAGAACACCCGUGGCGAAGGCGGCUCUCUGGAACGGUACUGACGCUGAGACGCGAAAGCGUGGGGAGCGAACAGG